This 426-nucleotide ribosomal RNA is filed under the name uncultured bacterium. RNAcentral describes it as "bacterial SSU rRNA". It matches the Rfam family "Bacterial small subunit ribosomal RNA", at positions 354 to 797 of the family's 1533-position model. The record is from RNAcentral.
GUGGGGAAUAUUGGACAAUGGGGGCAACCCUGAUCCAGCAAUGCCGCGUGUGUGAAGAAGGUCUUCGGAUUGUAAAGCACUUUCGACGGGGACGAUGAUGACGGUACCCGUAGAAGAAGCCCCGGCUAACUUCGUGCCAGCAGCCGCGGUAAUACGAAGGGGGCUAGCGUUGCUCGGAAUGACUGGGCGUAAAGGGCGUGUAGGCGGUUUGUACAGUCAGAUGUGAAAUCCCCGGGCUUAACCUGGGAGCUGCAUUUGAUACGUGCAGACUAGAGUGUGAGAGAGGGUUGUGGAAUUCCCAGUGUAGAGGUGAAAUUCGUAGAUAUUGGGAAGAACACCGGUGGCGAAGGCGGCAACCUGGCUCAUUACUGACGCUGAGGCGCGAAAGCGUGGGGAGCAAACAGGAUUAGAAACCCUAGUAGUCCC